Molecule: ribosomal RNA, 226 nt
Filed under: uncultured bacterium
Lineage: Bacteria
Description: partial 16S ribosomal RNA
Rfam family: Bacterial small subunit ribosomal RNA
Source: RNAcentral
CGUAGUGGCGCACGGGUGCGUAACGCGUGGGAAUCUGCCCUUAGGUACGGAAUAACUCAGGGAAACUUGAGCUAAUACCGUAUAAUGACUCCGGUCCAAAGAUUUAUCGCCUAAGGAUGAGCCCGCGUAGGAUUAGCUAGUUGGUGAGGUAAAAGCUCACCAAGGCGACGAUCCUUAGCUGGUCUGAGAGGAUGAUCAGCCACACUGGGACUGAGACACGGCCCAG